AUGGUGCCUGCAAUGUCAAAGGGAGAGGGAUUGAUCAGCCUCUCCGCACGGAAAGACUGUCGAACUGACAGGAAGGCCUGUCUCACAGCUGGCCCGACAAAAGCAAAGACAGUGUGUGAGAGCGCACAGCUGUGCUUAGAGAUGCAUUCCUGCCUAAUUAAAACAGGUCAAGAGAGCGGGCUGUCAUCCAUCCAUCCAAAAAAAAAAAAAAGCCUAAGAUAUAAAGUAACUGAGGAACAUGCCUGUCCUGGUUUCCCGGCUGCAUUGAUUGGAGCAGAAAGAGCUGAUCCAGCAGAGCAGCUCGAAGUACGACUCAUCCUGACCCACUGAAGCUGAAAACAUGCACAGAAGACAGACCAACAUUUACAACACUUUACUUACUCCAGCAUCCUUCUUUCUCUCUCUUGUGGUACUGCAUUGCACUGCAAUGCACAUUUGAACAGUGCUGCUUUAACCUCAUCAGCAAACUCCAUUACACUAUGCUAAACUGAACUAAAUUGAACUAAAUUUAAAGUAUCGGACAGAACUGAAUUAAUAAAAAAAACUGAACUAAAUCA
Molecule: long non-coding RNA, 557 nt
Organism: Cyprinus carpio (common carp)
Lineage: Eukaryota; Metazoa; Chordata; Actinopteri; Cypriniformes; Cyprinidae
Source: Ensembl